AUUGAACGCUGGCGGCAUGCUUUACACAUGCAAGUCGAACGGCAGCGCGGGCUUCGGCCUGGCGGCGAGUGGCGAACGGGUGAGUAAUACAUCGGAACGUGCCCAGUAGUGGGGGAUAGCUCGGCGAAAGCCGGAUUAAUACCGCAUACGACCUGAGGGUGAAAGCGGGGGAUCUUCGGACCUCGCGCUAUUGUAGCGGCCGAUGGCAGAUUAGCUAGUUGGUGGGGUAAAGGCCUACCAAGGCGACGAUCGGUAGCUGGUCUGAGAGGACGACCAGCCACACUGGGACUGAGACACGGCCCAGACUCCUACGGGAGGCAGCAGAGGGGAAUUUUGGACAAUGGGCGAAAGCCUGAUCCAGCAAUGCCGCGUGUGUGAUGAAGGCCUUCGGGUUGUAAAGCACUUUUGGCGGGAACGAAAAGGACUGUGCCAAUACCACGGUUCGAUGACGGUACCCGCAGAAUAAGCACCGGCUAACUACGUG
Molecule: ribosomal RNA, 484 nt
Filed under: uncultured bacterium
Lineage: Bacteria
Description: partial 16S ribosomal RNA
Rfam family: Bacterial small subunit ribosomal RNA
Source: RNAcentral